This 2136-nucleotide small RNA is filed under the name Pongo abelii (Sumatran orangutan). RNAcentral's name for it is "retained intron". The record is from RNAcentral. Lineage: Eukaryota; Metazoa; Chordata; Mammalia; Primates; Hominidae.
UUAAGCCCCGCAUGCGUUAUGUAUUUGUCCUAAUGCUCUCACUCCCCUUUCCUCCACCAACCAAGUCUUCACAUAUUUUGUUGCACAAAUAUUACAGUGUUUGAUGACAGGCUAUUGGGUGUUUUUUGUUGUUGUUGUUUUGUUUUGUUUUGUUUUGUUUUGUUUUUGAGAUGGAGUCUCGCUCUGUCACCCAGGCUGGAGUGCAGUCGGGUGAUCUCGGCUCACUGCAACCUCCGCCUCUCAGGUUCAAGCAAUUCUCCUGCCUCAGCCUCCUGUGUAGCUGGGACUGCAGGCGCCCAUCACCACACACGGCUAAUUUUUGUAUUUUUUAGUAGAGACAGGGUUUCACCAUGUUGGUUAGCCUGCUUUCGAACUCCUGACCUCGUAAUCUGCCUGCCUCAGCCUCCCAAAGUGCUGGGAUUAUAGGCAUGAGUCACUGCGCCCGGCCCUUUUUUCUUUUUUGAGACGGAGUCUCACUUUGUCGCCCAGGCUAGAAUGCAGUGGUGUGAUCUUGGCUCACUACAACCUUUACCUCCCAGGUUCAAGUGAUUCUGCUGCCUCAGCCUCCUGUGUAGCUGGGACCACAGGCAUGCACCACCACGCAUGGCUACUUUUCGUAUUUUUAGUAGAGACAGGGUUUCACCAUGUUGGCCAGAUUGUUCUUCAACACCAGACUUCAAGUGAUCUGCUUGCCUUGGCCUCCCACAGUGCUGGGAUGACAGGCAUGAUCCACUGCGCCUAACCUGACAGCUGUUGUUACUCAGCAUGUGGGAUGUUUACUGUUCUCAAAUCUGGAAAAUUCUGAAUUCUGAAACACAUCUGGUUCCAACAGUUUCAGCUAAGGGACUGUGGGCUGUGCCUCUUCUGAGCACUGAAGGAAAGGGUCUUGCAUACAGCAGGCACUCAAUAAAUGUUAGCUGAGAUCAGCAGCAGUUCCAGCCCCUAGACAGACAGACUGAUGGACCUUCUCCUCUGUCUCCCUCUCUGUCUCUGUCUCCAUCUCUGCCUCUGUCUGUCUUUCUGUCUCUGUCUGUUUCUCUGACUCUCUCCCUGAGCGACUCUGGAAGUCUGGGCAGGGUGUGUUCUGGGAUUGAAGACCAGGCGCAUUUCCUCUUCUGUGGUCCUCACCUUACCCUGUACCCUCAGAGAUGACCAAGCGAGACGUGCCUGGCUUCGCCAUCGGGGGCCUGAGCGGGGGUGAGAGCAAGUCUCAGUUCUGGCGGAUGGUGGCGCUGAGCACCUCUCGGCUGCCGAAGGACAAGCCCCGAUAUCUGAUGGGGGUCGGGUAUGUUGUGGAUAGGAGAGCCAGAGCCCUACCUGUGGGGAGUGGAUUUCUGGGGACCCCCUACACUGCUUGGGGGAGUGGCAUUUGGGGGAAACGGACACAGGUCUGAUCUGAGGAGACUAGGAAGACGUGGCUGUCCCUUGGGGGCCAUUCUGAGGGAAUAUGGCCCAGUCUGGGGCAGUGUGAGGGUUGGGAGGGGCCCUGGGAAGCCCCUGAGGUUCUCUGCCCCCUCCUGUUAUGGCUGCAACCCCAGCUAUGCCACUGAUCUGGUAGUCUGCGUGGCUCUUGGAUGUGACAUGUUCGACUGCGUCUUCCCCACACGGACAGCGCGCUUUGGCUCUGCCCUGGUGCCCACUGGGAACCUGCAGUUGAGGAAGAAGGUGUUUGAGAAGGACUUCGGCCCCAUAGACCCGGAGUGCACCUGCCCCACAUGCCAAAAGCACAGCCGCGCCUUCCUGCACGCACUGCUGCACAGUGACAACACGGCCGCGCUGCACCACCUCACGGUCCACAACAUCGCCUACCAGGUGAGCCAGUGCCCGGGGCAAGGCGGGCGGGGGUGUCCUAGGUGCAUAUGCCCCACGCUGACCUCCCCUCCCCGCAGCUGCAGCUCAUGAGCGCCGUCCGCACCAGCAUCGUGGAGAAGCGCUUCCCGGACUUUGUGCGGGACUUUAUGGGCACCAUGUACGGGGAUCCCACCCUCUGUCCCACCUGGGCCACUGACGCCCUGGCCUCUGUGGGAAUCACACUGGGCUGACCUGGUGUUAGAAGAGGGAGGGAGGAAAGGAGGGAGGGAGGGGCUGGAAGAUACUGAAGGAUUUCUUUUUGGAAGGUUUUUUUUAUUGUAACUU